Molecule: non-coding RNA, 1257 nt
Organism: Malus domestica (apple)
Lineage: Eukaryota; Viridiplantae; Streptophyta; Magnoliopsida; Rosales; Rosaceae
Source: RefSeq, a predicted model, not a curated record
UGAAGUAAACUUUUCAUCUCAAGGAUUUGGUCAGCCCUCUAAUAUUUCUUCCCGACCUGUUAUAGUUCAUUUGGAUGAUUUUUCUCUCAGUUAACAUGCAGCACAGUCAUUUGAUCAAUCUUAGGGUGCAUCCAUGAGUCCUCAAUUUGAUUUUGAUGGCUUCCAGUCUCCUUCCACUGUUGAUAUUGGUUCUAGUUCACAACCUGCUCAAGUGUUUACACAGGAUCAUCCUAUUGGUUCUUCCAGCUCAGUUGCUACUCUUUCCAACACUCCCCACAUGUUGCCUGUCCAUUCUGACCCACAUUUAGCAGUGAUGUUGCCUUCUGGUGAUAGAGAUUUACAUGUUACUCAGAGCAUUCAAACUAGGCUUCGAACUGGUGCCAUUACUUGAAAUGAUUAUUUAGCAUUGAUAGCUAUAUUUCCUGAAGUCACGUCUCUUAUUUUAGAUAAAGAUUAUUCUUUUUCUGGCGAAUUCACUUUUAUUGCAGAUAUCAUUGAUUCUGCAGAGCCUUCAACUUUUAAGACAGCUUCUCAAAUUCCUCAGUGUCAUGUAGCUAUGCAAGAAGAGUAUGAUGCCCUUCAAACACAAGUGGGAUUGAUAUUAAAGGAUAUAGUGAUUCGGAUUGGGCUGCAGAUGUGAACACCAGGAGAUCUAUUACAGGAUAUGUUGUUUAUCUUGGUGAUAAUCAUGUUUCCUGGCACUCCAAGAAACAAAGUUCCGUGUCCCGAAGUUCCACUGAAGCUGAAUAUAAAGCCCUUGCACAUGCUGCUGUGGAUAUAGCUUGGAUUCGACUUCUGCUUAAAGAUAUGUGUGCUACUAUUCCUAAUCCUCCCCUGUUAUUGUGUGAUAAUUAGUCUGCCAUAGCCUUAAGCAUGAAUCAUAUUCAUCAUUCAAGGAUCAAGCAUUUGGAAACUGACUUUCAUUUUGUUCGAGAAUGGGUGCAAAAGGGUGAUCUUGAUGUUCAAUAUGUGCCUACACAGGAUCAAGUGGCUGACAUCCUUACAAAAGGACUUCAUGGUCUUGAUUUUCUCAAACAUUGUCACAAUCUUAAUCUAGCACAUUCUGGUUAAAAUUGAGGGGGGAUAUUGGAUAUACAUGCCACGUAGGCAAUUGCCAUGUCAACGAUAGCUUUAGAAUUAAGUAGUCUUCGAAAUACCUUGUAUAAAUAUAUUUUCCCUCUCUCAUUUGUAGCCAGUUGGAUAUGUUGUAAUAAACACUUUCUCUCUAAAGGAUUUUCUGAGCUCUUUCUUCUCACA